UACGAAGGGGGCUAGCGUUGUUCGGAAUCACUGGGCGUAAAGGGUGCGUAGGCGGCCGUGCAAGUCUGGCGUGAAAGCCCCGGGCUCAGCCCGGGAAGUGCGCUCGAAACUGCGCGGCUCGAGUGCCGGAGGGGAGAGUGGAAUUCCUGGUGUAGCGGUGAAAUGCGUAGAUAUCUGGAGGAACACCGGUGGCGAAGGCGGCAUCCUGGACCAAUUCUGACGCUGAGGAGCGAAAGCGUGGGGAGCGAACAGG
This 253-nucleotide ribosomal RNA is filed under the name uncultured bacterium. Its description in RNAcentral is "partial 16S ribosomal RNA". It matches the Rfam family "Bacterial small subunit ribosomal RNA", at positions 524 to 776 of the family's 1533-position model. The record is from RNAcentral.